AACGAACGCUGGCGGCAGGCCUAACACAUGCAAGUCGAGCGCCCCGCAAGGGGAGCGGCGGACGGGUGAGUAACGCGUGGGAACGUACCCUUUGCUACGGAAUAGCCUCGGGAAACUGGGAGUAAUACCGUAUGUGCCCUUCGGGGGAAAGAUUUAUCGGCAAAGGAUCGGCCCGCGUUGGAUUAGGUAGUUGGUGGGGUAAUGGCCUACCAAGCCGACGAUCCAUAGCUGGUUUGAGAGGAUGAUCAGCCACACUGGGACUGAGACACGGCCCAGACUCCUACGGGAGGCAGCAGUGGGGAAUCUUAGACAAUGGGCGCAAGCCUGAUCUAGCCAUGCCGCGUGAGCGAUGAAGGCCUUAGGGUUGUAAAGCUCUUUCAGUGGGGAAGAUAAUGACUGUACCCACAGAAGAAGCCCCGGCUAACUCCGUGCCAGCAGCCGCGGUAAUGUACAUGU
Molecule: ribosomal RNA, 456 nt
Filed under: uncultured bacterium
Lineage: Bacteria
Description: bacterial SSU rRNA
Rfam family: Bacterial small subunit ribosomal RNA
Source: RNAcentral